UAGAAAAAAUGUAGUAUGUCCAAAUACACAACGUUCUUAUUUUUACUAUGCCGUAAAAUAGUAACCAUAACCAUUGAAAUAGUUAUGUGCAUUAAAAAAUUGUGACGACAACCACGACUCGGUAACAAUUCAAAUAGUGAUAGUAACUAUUGAACAUAGUUGACCAGUUUGUUUGGAAGACUCCAUUUUUCGGUAAAACACCUACACGAGGCAAAUGGUUCAACUCUUUUCGCGGUUGAUUGAAACCAAUGUUAUUAUGAAUAGUUGCUUCACGAUAUAGGAACUGCGCUAAUCAAUUUUUGGCUUGGUUUCACAGGUUGUCGCAAACACCAACUGAACUUUGACGAUUCAGAGGAAAAACGAACAUGUCGGAGUGAAUAGGCGGACUAGAGACUUUCAACUCGGAAGAUGACCCCGUAAUGCCGCCUAUGACCCAUGAAACGAUCUACAACUAAGGAUGGGUCGAAUGUAUCGACGAGGGGAUUCACGCCAUGAUCGUCGUAGUGACAUCCCAAUGGAACAGCAGGAGAUAGCGGCCAACAUGAUCCACAAGGACAUCGAAGCAUACGCCAAUGAAUACAUCUGAUCGGAAUGAACUCCCUUUGGACUGGGAAAACAACCAAAGCCAGUUGACCCCGUCCGGAACGUCUUCGCCAAUCGAGGACAGAGGCAGUACCAUCUAUAUAACCGAGAGCACUACCAGUGUGCUUGCCAGCAGGAUACUGCCGUAGACCAAGCCGUAGCCGAUCUGGUAUUGGAGUUCGAUUCCAACUAGCUUGACUGUGAAUCUUCACCAUGGAACCAGUUAUUUUUUAUGGAUACCUUCCGAUGGCAACAUUGCGUGUUCAAAUUAGCGAUGCAACUGCAUGUAAAAAAGUGAUAAAUAGUGAGUUUAGUGAAAUAAAUUAAAACAACUAAA
This is a long non-coding RNA of Aedes aegypti (yellow fever mosquito), 919 nucleotides long. RefSeq lists it as uncharacterized. Lineage: Eukaryota; Metazoa; Arthropoda; Insecta; Diptera; Culicidae. The record is from RefSeq and is a predicted model, not a curated record. The transcript has 2 exons.